AAAUAAAAAGUAAUUAAAACUUAUGUCUAUUUUGGCCAUUAUAUAAUAAAACAACACAUUCGUAAUAAAAUUUACCAAACACAUACACUCUAUUUUUCAAACUCACAGCAACUGGAACAGCACAGUUUACCAAACGUCAAACUACUUUUUUAACCAGCAGCUUAUUUUAUCUGCACAACACAAGCAGCUUAUUUUAUCAGCCUCUGUAAUCCCAAACUGGCCCCAACUCUUUCCAACAUGAAAUAUCAACUAAUUAAUUUUAAAGUUUGUAGUUAACUAACUUUAACUACUUCUUCAAUGUUAAUAGUAAUUCAUAAUUUAAAAUUAAUAUUAAUUCAUAAUUUAAAAUUCCAAGUAUUCGAGUUAAUUCAAACUUAAAUCGUUGUUUACUACCACUAAGCCCAAAAAUUGGCUUGUUCAAUUUGUGUGCGCAAAAGUCCACAUGCUUGACUUGUCACAAAAAAUGAAUUUCUCAUUAUAAACCACCCCAGAAGUUUAUAUAUUUCCAAUGUAGGAUUUGGUGUCUUGAAAUACCCAUCACAUAAUCACAACACAUAAAAAGAGAUUUAAAAGGUAGAUAGUGGGGAAAUGAUAAGUUGGUAGGAGGAUAAAAAUUCUAGGGUUGCAUGCUGGUAUAUGGUUACAUGCAUGUCGUUUCAUUGGUGCGAUGGAUAUCUGCACAUAUGAAGUAUCAUAUUUAUAGUUUUUUUUUUAAUUUACCUAUCUAGCCACUUUCAUAAAUUCAUUAUCAACACUAAGUAUAUAACAAAUUGUUAUCAUAAUAACUAUAUAAGCCCAAUUUAGACUAAAUCAUGUUUAAAACAAACCAACCACAACUAAAUCUACGAGAAAAAAAAUAAAAUACAUCGUCCACAUUGCCCACAUCUAUUUGGCAUCGCCCACAUUGCUUCCAUCUAUUAUAUAGUUAUGCAUCACCCACAUUGCCAGUGACGUUCUUUGACGGAUAGACUUCCUUCUACAGCGGUGGCUUCCAUCACAGUUUUGAUCGAAUUUGAAGAACCAAUUUUGCUUAGCAUCACUUCAAGGUACUGUUUUGCUCAUGCACAAUUUACUUCAUGAUUUUGAUCCGAUUUAUUAUUUAAUUGCUCUUUAAAUUAUUUGUUCGAUCGAUUAAUAUGACAUAUAAGGAAUUAGAAUAUGUGUUGGACAUGAAAAUUUGAAUUUUUUUUUAAAUAACAUUUUGUAAAAUAUGGCAAUUAGAUGCUUGUUAAAAUGCUCUAAGAAGAUUUUUUCUAUUAUGAUAUUAAGUUUGUCGAGCAUGCCUAUAAUUAUAUAUUUCUUAGUACCAACAGCACCUACUAACACUACGAGAAAAAGAUAUAAUUAACACGCUAAUCGAGGCAAUGGGAUCCAUCGCCCAUGCUCAUGAGGCGAAGGAACAAUCCCAAAUGUGUUUUUUCUUAUUUUUAAAUAUUAUUCUAAUAUCUAUCAUAUUUAUGUUUCAAAUGUGUCCUAUAAUGAAAUGUGCCCUUGGACAGUAAAGAUAUCUAUCGUGGAUUACUUCCCAGGCGUCUUUACAAAUUUGACCAAAAUGAAAAAAAAAAUUAUUAGCGUUAUAUGGGGAAAGUUGACUGAUAAGUAAUGAAAGUUGUUCAAGAAGUAAAUAUUUGGGCCUUUCUUUUAACUAUUGAGAAUAUCAGAUUUAGUGGGAUCCUCCUGCACAACUUAUCGCUUAGACAAGUCAUGCAAGAAGUUGAUGAAUACCAAAUGAAGUUUCAUCUUGGCAACAAGUUGGUACAUUUCUUGAUUCGGGAAUGGUGUCUUGCUACAAGACUUAAGUGUGUUGAAUUAGAAGAUGGAAGAAAAAUAGGCAAUUUUUGGUGGAAAUGAUGACUUUCUCCUUGAAGAAUUAGACAAAAGGUUUGAAGCUUCUCAAUUUUAAUAAAAUCAAUGACAAUGAUUUAUUUAGAAUUGCCUUGUUAUUCUUUACGGAAUCAAUCAAUAAUUUUAUAUUUUAUGUCAUCAUGAAUUUGGGAAUGUUUUAGUAAUUUUUCUUAGGGAUUAUAUUUGUGAAAUAUUGUUUAUGAUCAAGUGAACAGAGUAUCAAAUAGGAAAGCUGAAAAUUUUAAUAAAAUGGAGCGAAUUAUACAAACAUGAGGCUUAAAAUUUCUCUAGUUUUUGUUACGGUGUGUAAGCACAUAAAAUAUAAAUAUAAAGUAACUAUAUGUAAAUAUAAUAUAAUGUAUUAGUUUUUCUUCCCUAUGCAAGCCUAUAUUUUUUAAGCAAUUGGAGGAAUUGCAUUAAAGUAUGCCACCCUAACAAAAAUAAAUUAUCUCUAAGACUAUACAAUAUUCAAAGCUACUAGAAAAUUUUACAACUACUGUAAGUGUUGCCAAAGUAUGUAACUUGGUGUAUACAUUUGUCUAUAAUUAUGCAAACUUAAUUUUUUCUAACACAAAGUCGAGUCAAAGCAAAUUUUGAAAAAAAAAUUGGUAAAGAGGGUAAAGAACCAUAUUAUCAAUCUAUGAGGAGAUACUACACUAUGAUUUGGACUUGGGUUGAUGAGGUGGGAAGAUUUUAAAAUAUAAAUUGAUUACUCACAGUGCAUUUGCUGAAAUGAAAAUUUGUAAAUUUCCUUGUGCAUUUUAAGCAACUUUUGGAAAAGCAAAAACAUAAUGAGACUAUAUUGCUAUCGGAUGACCACCAUUGAUCACCUAUAAAAAAAUUUAGGCCUCAAGACCCACCCCACAAUUUGAACAAAACAAAGGGCGUUGAUACGAUCGAGGUUAGAUUUAUUUGGCACUUUACAAUCGAUUUAUAGUAUAAAAUAAUUGAGGGAAUUUGCCACCAGAGUGUUUUUUUUUUUUGGUUUAUAGUUGAGGUCGAAGAAUGGUAUGAUUACAUUGUCUAUAAACUGAAUAAACUUUCGCUUGAUGUUGCUAAAAUCAAGACGAAAAUGGUCAAAAUCUCUGGCAAUGGUUGAAGAUUGGAAGGUGUUUGGUGAGGUGAAGACGAGAUUUGAUGAGAUGAGACUGUUUGCAAGACUGUUGUUUGGACCCAUAUCCUAUGUCAGUAAAUAUUCUAAGAGCAUUAUUGUAAAAAUAGAGAAAAAAAUUUAACAAUACAUAAGUAAUAAUGGGGGCAUUUUCUAAAAUAUGAAAAUUAAAUAUACAUUUAACUCAGAAAAUAAGGAUCAUUUUGAACAUUGUGCCCAUUAAUUUGACGUUAACUAUGGUGGUGUUAUAGAUUCAACCAAGGUUGACUCUGAGGUCAUGUUCAGUUGUCAGAAAAGAGGAGAGAUGAGAGGAGAGGAAAAGAGAGGAGGUGAAAGGAAAUGAGAAAAAAAGGGAGGGGAAUUUAAUUUCCUUUGUUCGAUUUAAGAUAAAAUUAGCAAAGGACAGAAAUUUUACAAUUUUUUAUUUGAACAAAUUUACCCUUGUAUUAUAUUUUUAAUAUUUAUUAUUAAAUUAAUUUAAAAACUACAAAUAUUUUAAUUACUUUAAAAGUAGCCUCAAGGUUAAUGUUUCAUUCUCUUUUAUUAAAAGUGCUUUUACCAAUUAUUAUCCAAGUGCUUUUAUCAAAUGUAUUUUUUAAAAAAUAUAAAACAUUAAUAUUAUUUCAAAAAUAGCCCAUAAUAUUACUAAAAAAAUAUUAAAUUUCAAAUGCUCAAAUGAAAUAAUAAAAAAUACUUAGCCAAAUUUCAAAAUAUGACUAUAACAUCUUCAAAUUUCAAAGGCAUUCUACAAUAUAAAAAUAUAAAAACAUAACGAAAAAUACUUAGUCAAAUUUCAAGUGCUUUUAUUUUCGAGCAACUGAACAUGGCCUAACAAUUUGGAAGUCUUAGGCGAACUUUUCUUGGAGGCUUUUCUACAUUAAACAACAUAAAUCUCAAAGAAAUAUUAAAUAGCUCAAAAUUUAAUUAUCUUUAAUAAUAUCUUGAAUUUCAACAAUUAUCAACAAGAUCCCAAAAAAAUAAAGAAUAAUAAAAAGAUAUCUAUUUAUUUUUAGAUAAACACUAACUAAGUUCAUCAUGUUUAUUAAAUUUGAUUCAAUUAUCAACACCUAGGCUACUUAACUCACAAACUUCAUAGCUAAUUCAAGCCAUAUAUCAAUACAAAAAAUAAAAAAAAUGCAAGAAAAUUAAGAAAGAAGAUUAAUUAUAUUUUAAAUUGAAUAAUUAGAAUGAUAGCACAUAAAAAGUUGCUUGUUUAAAUGAAUAUGAUGGUCAAAUAUCAGAUGAUGGUAAUGAACUUUAUAGAGAUGAUCAGAAGAAUUUUCUUUGUUUUGAAAUUUAAAAUAGAAUUAAUAGAAUACUAAAAGUUUUGAAAUUUAAAAUAGAAUUAAUAGAAUACUAAAAGUUCAAAACUAAUCUUGAUUCAAUAUCUAUUAGUUUUGAAAUUUAAAAUAGAAUUAAUAGAAUACUAAAAGUUUUAAAAUCUAAAUUAAGCAUUUUAUGUAUGUGCUUACUUCCCAUGAAUGCAAAUCAAUGAAUCAGAAUGCGUUUCAUUACCAUGUUUAUUUUUUAAAAUAAGAUCACAAAUCAGAAUGAGAAUAAUAGGUCCACAAAAAAUUGGAAAUGAAACAUGGGGUUAUGAUUCCUGUGGGGGGUUGGGAAUCAGAACCCCUUACAUUAAAGAGACGAAAUUGCCCCCAAUGAAUUUUGAUAAUUCUAAUUUU
Molecule: long non-coding RNA, 4638 nt
Filed under: Citrus x clementina
Lineage: Eukaryota; Viridiplantae; Streptophyta; Magnoliopsida; Sapindales; Rutaceae
Description: Citrus clementina (C. clementina) long non-coding RNA (CCLE_LNC006656)
Source: RNAcentral